This is a long non-coding RNA of Macadamia integrifolia, 964 nucleotides long. RefSeq lists it as uncharacterized. The record is from RefSeq and is a predicted model, not a curated record. Lineage: Eukaryota; Viridiplantae; Streptophyta; Magnoliopsida; Proteales; Proteaceae. The transcript is spliced from 2 exons.
CUCUUUCUCUCACCCUCUCGCGACUCACUUUCCCUGCCUUGCCCUGCUCCCGAACUCAUUUUUCAUAGCCGAGCAGUAAAUUUCCCUUCUUUCUCCAAGGGCAGGCGGCUCUCCUCUUUCCUGGAAGUUCGCUACUGAACUCCCUCCAUUGACUCCUUACAACGUGGAAAGACGACAGAACCUGCGAGGAAACAAGGGAAGAAAGAAUAAUGCCUUGUCUUCAUGUCUGUGUCCUUAUCAAACGUCGUCGUCGACGACCCAUUUCUCUAUUUCCUUUGAAAUUUUUUGCAAUCUCUCAUCUUCCUCGCGUCCUCCUCCUUUGAUAAUGGCAAAAUCUCAGAUUUCUUAAUAUAUAGCUUGUCACUAUAACACUGAAAUCAAAUUCAUCAUUCUCCAUAUCCCAAACAGAGAGGGAUUUGAGGGAGUAAAAGAGAUGAAGAGAUGAUGAAGUGGGACGACUUGGCCUGCAAGAACUACCAAUUAGACCGAAGCUAAAAUGGAGCUUUCUUCUCAGAUUGAGAGAUUCAAAGUGACGUAAGCGAUGGGUCGUGUAAUCCGAGCACAAAGGAAGGGAGUAGGCAAAACACUUAUUUGAAUUAUUUUUGAGUUGGAAGGAUUUUUCGGGCUAAAUAUCUCUUCAUUCUAGCUCAGAUAAGGAAGCUUUAAAUAUCAGGUUUGAUUUCUUUCUCUAUUUUGUUCCAUUUCAUUUUGUUGGCUUCACCUCCUUAGCCCUCAACGAGCACAGAACUCACCUCAAGUGUUUGAUGAAAUGUGUCACAGAGAUAUUAUAUCCUGUGGGUGUUGCUUAAGCUGCUUAGAUCCAUGUGGGUUGAGGACCCAAAUGUUUGUAAACUUCAAUAUGGUCUGGUUAAUGCCUGAAUUGUAUCUCUUUUGAUUUUUGAGCUUUUUGUGGAUAUAUUAGUGCUUCCUCUGUUACAGUAAAGUAAAAGCUCUAUAGUAAAAA